Long non-coding RNA from Arabidopsis thaliana (thale cress), 473 nucleotides. RefSeq annotates it as other RNA. The record is from RefSeq. NCBI's taxonomy places the organism in Eukaryota, Viridiplantae, Streptophyta, Magnoliopsida, Brassicales, Brassicaceae. The transcript has a single exon.
AAUGUGGGCCUGAUGUUUGUUGCUGAAACCCAUUAAGGGAGACCUCCAACCAGAUUAGGGUUAAGUCGUGCGCCGUCGACGUACCGGAGGCGCAACUGACGGUCCAAGAGGAGAACCUCCUGCCAUCAACGAAGUUCGGUGAGAAUAAUCUUCUGGGGAAGCCAAUGCAUGUCCAGAUUUAGAGGAGUUAAGCGGAGCGAUGAAGCUAAGUUCAGAUCUAAGUGAAGUGCCGCUAGAUUUAUAUAGUUUUUUAAAAUUCUUCUUCUUCGACGUAGAUAAUGAGCCCAGAGGGUAGAAGAUGGUCGCCGGAGUCCACUUUCGUCCUCUGUUGCUAGCUUAUGAGAGAAGGUUGAAGCUUGUCGAACAAAGAGAUUGGGAUAAAAGAGUUUGUGAUGAUUGAGAAAGUAACCGAAACAAACGUAAAACAGAGAGAUUUAAGGAUCGAAAAUUAAAGGAAGAGGAGGAGAUGUCUC